Molecule: ribosomal RNA, 253 nt
Filed under: uncultured bacterium
Lineage: Bacteria
Description: partial 16S ribosomal RNA
Rfam family: Bacterial small subunit ribosomal RNA
Source: RNAcentral
UACGGAGGGAGCUAGCGUUGUUCGGAAUUACUGGGCGUAAAGCGCGCGUAGGCGGCUUUGUAAGUUAGAGGUGAAAGCCCGGGGCUCAACUCCGGAAUUGCCUUUAAGACUGCAUCGCUAGAAUCCGGGAGAGGUGAGUGGAAUUCCGAGUGUAGAGGUGAAAUUCGUAGAUAUUCGGAAGAACACCAGUGGCGAAGGCGGCUCACUGGACCGGCAUUGACGCUGAGGUGCGAAAGCGUGGGGAGCAAACCGG